Molecule: ribosomal RNA, 470 nt
Filed under: Alkalihalophilus pseudofirmus
Lineage: Bacteria; Bacillati; Bacillota; Bacilli; Caryophanales; Bacillaceae
Description: bacterial SSU rRNA
Rfam family: Bacterial small subunit ribosomal RNA
Source: RNAcentral
GAGCGGACUGAUGGGAGCUUGCUCCCUGAUGUUAGCGGCGGACGGGUGAGUAACACGUGGGCAACCUGCCUGUAAGACUGGGAUAACUCCGGGAAACCGGGGCUAAUACCGGAUAACCCGUUCCACCUCAUGGUGGAGCGGUAAAAGAUGGCCUCUGGCUAUCACUUACAGAUGGGCCCGCGGCGCAUUAGCUAGUUGGUAAGGUAACGGCUUACCAAGGCGACGAUGCGUAGCCGACCUGAGAGGGUGAUCGGCCACACUGGGACUGAGACACGGCCCAGACUCCUACGGGAGGCAGCAGUAGGGAAUCUUCCGCAAUGGACGAAAGUCUGACGGAGCAACGCCGCGUGAGUGAUGAAGGUUUUCGGAUCGUAAAGCUCUGUUGUUAGGGAAGAACAAGUGCCGUUUGAAUAAGGCGGCACCUUGACGGUACCUAACCAGAAAGCCACGGCUAACUACGUGCCAGCACC